AGCGCUGCGCGACCUAACCCCCACUGCCAAUCGAAACCUAGCGCUCUCUUCUACAAUCUCGCUCUCUGCACCGGUGCACCUAGUCACUCACGUUCUUGAGUCUGGAGGCCGUUCCUCCCAAGCUCCCACCACCUCAAAGCCUUCCUCCCAACACCGAAGCCCUUUCACACACUGCUCCCAGGACCUUUUCGCCCACCAGUGCACCACGAAGCCCCAGCCACAGUCAGCACCACCCUCACAGGCUCGCACCCAGCAGUUGCACACCACCACCCAGCGGACAGAGCACCGUUUCUGGCCACCCACGCAGCAGUAGCACAGCACGACAUCACCACCCACUGACCCAGCAGCCCAGUAUAGCACCACGCUAAUGACGCCACCACCCAGCAGCGUUUCUAGCUACCACCCAGCAGCGUUUUCCAGUCCCCACCCAACCACCGAUUCAAGUCAUUUAAAGUCAAUAUGGAGCCCGAGCCACCGAGUCAGUCUCAUUCGUCAUUGGUACCCCUAAUCAUCUCUCUCGGUGUUCUUCCUUGUAAUUUAUUUUAUUUGGUGAAAAGUCUUUGAUUUUUAUCUGGUUAUGAGUUCUAACUUGAAAACCCUUUUGUUUUUUUGGCUCAAAUUUGACAACCCUUUUGGUAUGAUUCUCUGUUAGUGAUAAUUGGCGGUUAAAGUUUGAAGCUUGUGAUGCUGAUAAUUUAUUGUGGAUUAUGAUGUUCAUUCAUUGAUAAUUUAGUUGUAAGCUAUGGUUCUGUCUUCAUGCAUAAUCCACGUAACAGCUUUUAGAUUGAUCAGGAAAUAAGAUUAAAUAGCAUGAGUUUAAUUUGUGGAUU
Molecule: non-coding RNA, 830 nt
Organism: Arachis ipaensis
Lineage: Eukaryota; Viridiplantae; Streptophyta; Magnoliopsida; Fabales; Fabaceae
Source: RefSeq, a predicted model, not a curated record